AUGGUGCGAUCUAUGAUGUCUCUUACCGAUUUACCGCUAUCAUUUUGGGGCUAUGCUUUAGAGACUGCCGCAUUCACUUUAAAUAGGGCUCCGUCGAAAUCCGUUGAGACGACACCGUAUGAAUUAUGGUUUGGGAAGAAGCCUAAGUUGUCGUUUCUAAAAGUUUGGGGAUGCAAUGCUUAUGUCAAGAAACUUCAAUCUGAAAAGCUCGAACCCAAGUCGGAAAAAUGCGUCUUCAUAGGAUACCCUAAAGAAACUAUUGGGUAUACCUUCUACCUCAGAUCUGAAGGCAAGAUCUUUGUUGCCAAGAGUGGAUCCUUUCUAGAGAAAGAGUUUCUCUCGAAAGAAGUAAGUGGGAGGAAAGUAGAGCUUGAUGAAGUACUGCCUCUUGAAGCAGAGAGUAGCGCAGCUCAGGAAAAUGUUCCUGUGGUGCCUGCACCAAUUAGAGAGGAAGUUAAUGAUGAUGAUCAAGAUAUUACUGAUCAAGCUCCUACUGAACUUCGAAGGUCCACAAGGACACGUUCCGCACCAGAGUGGUACGGCAACCCUGUCUUGGAAAUCAUGUUGUUAGACAACGGUGAACCUUCGAACUAUGAAGAAGCGAUGGCGGGCCCGGAUUCCGACAAAUGGCUGGAAGCCAUGAAAUUUGAGAUAGGAUCCAUGUAUGAAAACGAAGUAUGGACUUUGACUGACUUGCCC
RNAcentral lists this ribosomal RNA (699 nucleotides) under Triticum aestivum (bread wheat). RNAcentral's name for it is "partial small subunit ribosomal RNA". Lineage: Eukaryota; Viridiplantae; Streptophyta; Magnoliopsida; Poales; Poaceae. The record is from RNAcentral.